Myodes glareolus (Bank vole) is the source of this 1049-nucleotide non-coding RNA. The record is from RefSeq and is a predicted model, not a curated record. Lineage: Eukaryota; Metazoa; Chordata; Mammalia; Rodentia; Cricetidae.
AGCACUCUCUGAUCUUAAGCCAAUCCUUUUGUCAAUAGGAGGUUGCAGCAUGGGGUUCGUGACAUUUCCUAGUCACAAAAGGACUCACAUUCAACGAGAGGGAAGUUUUCUAAUUGUGGCUGUCACUUCUGUCACACCUCCCUGAACUUUGGGGGUGUCGGGGUGGGGUGAGCACAUGAAAGCAACUGACAAGACCUGUGAGGAUUCCCAGGGAAACACACGGAGAUCGGAAGUUUGAACGCAGCACACAGUCCUGCGUUGGAAUGGCACAGCGAGGCCACAGGCAAGUUCCAGCCCCUUGAUCUUGGACUUCACAGAUGUCAGACCUGCACAAAUGAGCUCAAGCGUUGAAUUGCUUCAUCAUCCUGGAUACUAAAAGUUUGAUUUCAGAAGUUCUCAAGGCGUGCCCAUUUCCAACUUCUGGCAGCAUCUGCAGCAGACAUGCUUGGGGGCCAUUCAUUCCCUCCUCGUUCAUUUCCCAACUCUACUUCCAGCAACAUUUAAUUAAGAUUUCUGGAGCAGACUCCAGGCGAGAUGCUUUAUGUGUAUGACAUCAUUUCCUCCUGACAGUAAUUCAGUAUGCACGACAAUAUCAUGCCCAUUUUCCAAGUGAAAAAAACUGAGGUUGAAAAAGGUAAAACUCUUGGCCAAGUAUGUAGCAAAGAAGUGAUGGAGUCCAGAUGUGAUCAAAGGUUGCGUCCUAAUUCCAGGACUUCAGGCCACCUUGUCACUUAGAUUGGUCGGGAGUUCUACUUGAUCAUAAAAUUUGGUGAAACGGUUGUUUUGUCCCAUUUUUUUUUUCCUGGCAAUAUUGUGUGGCGACAUAGUGUCUGCUAGCAUUAUGCAUUUAGUGACAUCUUAGGACAGCUCCUAUGUCCUGUGCAUAACUCAGACACCAGCUGUUAAAGUGCUUCCUUUCAAAUGAGGAUCAUGGGGACGGGCAAGUGACUCGUUCCCUCCUUCUAAAUCCAAGACACAAAGGACUCUGACUGUGGCAGGACCUUCCUCUUCUCCAAGUCUGAUCGGGGAGGUUGACAUCACUGAGCACA